RNAcentral lists this non-coding RNA (1787 nucleotides) under Chlorocebus sabaeus (green monkey). Its description in RNAcentral is "Eukaryotic large subunit ribosomal RNA". It matches the Rfam family "Eukaryotic large subunit ribosomal RNA", at positions 1 to 1896 of the family's 3401-position model. Lineage: Eukaryota; Metazoa; Chordata; Mammalia; Primates; Cercopithecidae. The record is from Rfam by way of RNAcentral.
UGACCUCAGGCUAGAGAUGGCGACCCUCUGAAUUUAAGUAUACUAGUCAACGGAGGAAAAUAAACUAACCAGGAUUCCCUUAGUAAAGGUGAGUGAACAAGGAGCCUAGUGCCAAAUCGCUGUCCCUUGGUGGGGUGCGGGAAAUGAAGUGUGUGAAAGACUCGCUUCCCAGCGCCCCUUGUGGGGGCCUAGGUUCUUCUGAUUGAGGCCCAGCCAACCUGUGGACGAUGUGAGGUGGCGGCCCCAGCAGGUGCGGAGGUGGGUGGGUUGGACAGGCGGGGGAGUCGUUGGGAACUGUCCCCCAGAUGGCGACUGGCCACCGCCAGGUGCAUUUCCACUGUGGUUCUGCGCCCUGACUGGCUCUGGGACGUCUGGGAAGGCCCGGAAGGGAAGGUGGCUCGGGGGAUCAUGUCCUCCCUGUCCCUCGGGAGGGAGUGGGGUGGGCCACCCCCCGAGUGUUACAGUCCCCCAGCAGUAGCAUUCGCCGAAUCCCAGGACUGAGGUGGUGAGACCUGUUGCCGUGCUCUCCCCUUCCCUGCACCCACUCCAGUGGGAGCCCCCCAUGAGGGGAUCCCCCGUGGGGUCGUGACAGCGUCACUCUAGGGGGCUGGGCCACCCGUCCCACUGUGUAACUACUCCACCACGCCCUUUCUACCCCCAGUGAAGAGGCUGCAUGGGAGGGGCUGGGGCUGACUGUGGUGUGCCCCAGGAAGGUUGUGCUGUCGGGCCUGGGGCGGUCUCUUCGACCAUGCACUCAUCCCAAAAGAACAGUGGAACAAGUGCAUGAGAUCGGUGGUGGUGCUGUCGGCUACCUACAUGAUCCAUCUUGAAACACGAACCAAGGAGUGUAACACGUGUGCGAGUCAGGGGCUCCCACGAAAGCCGCCGUGGCACAAUGAAGGUGAAGACUGGUGGGCUCACAGGCCGAGGUGGGAUCCUGAGGCCUCUCCAGUCCGCCGAGGGCGCACCACCGGCCCGUCUCGCCCGCCGCGCCGGGGAGGUGGAGCACGAGCGCACGUGUUAGGACCCGAAAGAUGGUGAACUAUGCCUGGGCAGGGCAAAGCCAGAGAAAACUCUGGUGGGCGUCUGUAGCAGUCCUGACGUGCAAAUCAGUCGUCUGAUCUGUGUAUAGGGGCAAAAGACUAAUGGAACCUUCUAGUAGGUAGUACCCUGUGAAGUUUUCCUAAGGAUAGCUGAGGCUCUGGCAAAAACCCCAUGCCACGCAGUUAUCCAGUAAAGCGAAUGAUUAGAGGUCUUGGGACCGAAACGAUCUCAACUUAUUCUCAAACUUUAAAUGAGCAAGAAGCCCGGCUCACUGGGGUGUAGCCAGGUAUGGUAUGCGAGUGCCUAGUGGGCCACGUUUGGUAAGCAGAACUAAUGCUGUGGGAUUAAUCAAAUGCCAGGUUAAGGUGCCUGAUACUGAUGCUCAUCAGAUCACAGAAAAGGUGUUGGUUCAUAUAGACAGCAUGGGGGCCAUAGAAGGUGGAAUCCACUAAGGACUGUUUAACAACUCACCUGUGGAAUCAACUAGCCCUGAAAAUAGAUGGUGCUGAAGCAUUGGGCCCACACCCAGCUGUUGCCAGCAGUUCAGAGUGGACAAGAGUGGUGAGGGCGGUAACCCCCCACCAGAGCCCUGAGGAUGGUAUGCUGCCAUGAGUAGGAGGGCCGCUAUGGUGAGCCUUGAAGCCUAGGGCAUGAGCCUGGGUGGAGCUGCCACAGGUGCAGAUGGGCGAGUGCCAUUCCAAAGGAAUGGGAGAUGACUUCCAUUGCCCUCAGCCUAUUAAAAU